GAACCCAAGUAGAGUGGCGAACGGGUGAGUAACGCGUAGGAAACCUGCCUUUUAGUGGGGGACAACCACCGGAAACGGUGGCUAAUACCGCAUGUGAUUAUAGAAACACAUGUUUUUAUGAUCAAAGACGGCCUCUUCUUGAAAGCUGUUGCUAAGAGAGGGUCCUGCGUUGUAUCAGAUUGUUGGUGAGGUAAUGGCUCACCAAGUCUAAGACGCAUAGCCGGCCUGAGAGGGUGUACGGCCACACUGGGACUGAGAUACGGCCCAGACUCC
RNAcentral lists this ribosomal RNA (273 nucleotides) under uncultured bacterium. RNAcentral describes it as "partial 16S ribosomal RNA". It matches the Rfam family "Bacterial small subunit ribosomal RNA", at positions 82 to 339 of the family's 1533-position model. The record is from RNAcentral.